Molecule: small RNA, 138 nt
Filed under: Klebsiella variicola
Lineage: Bacteria; Pseudomonadati; Pseudomonadota; Gammaproteobacteria; Enterobacterales; Enterobacteriaceae
Description: RtT sRNA
Rfam family: RtT RNA
About the family: This family represents a bacterial cis-regulatory element known as RtT RNA. The exact function of RtT is unknown although it is thought that it may be involved in changing the cellular response in relation to amino acid starvation.
Source: RNAcentral
UUAUAUUCUCCGCUGGGGGGGAUGAGAACCCCCGACCGGGGUUCGACAACUGGCAACGCCAGUUGGACAGACCGCGAGCCUGCGAGCGGGCUGCCCCGCAGGGGCGAGCGAAGCGAGUCAAUCCCCCCCGCACCGCCA